Molecule: long non-coding RNA, 3166 nt
Organism: Solenopsis invicta (red fire ant)
Lineage: Eukaryota; Metazoa; Arthropoda; Insecta; Hymenoptera; Formicidae
Exons: 2
Source: RefSeq, a predicted model, not a curated record
CUUUAUUAACUUUUUUCUUCUUGUGCUAAAUAAAUUUUACAACUUGAACCACAAUAAUACUAAUGACCGACAAUUUUAUAAAGUUUGUGUGGCUGCUAAAAUUUAAUUACAAUAGAAUAAACUGUGUUCACCGUAUCAGCGGUCGAGAAUCGAAUACCAGUUACCGAUAAUGUUAAUAUUUAUCCAUUAUACCUUUGAAUCUCUACGAUUUCAUUGAUAGUUAUAUCAGGUCACGAAACUAAAUUUAUCUAGGAUUAUAAGCAUUCAACAAUAUCUUGUCAAUGGUAAACUUGGUUAACAGUUUUUUAUUAUAAAGUUAAAUCUCUUUACAAUAUACAUUUAAUUUAUAUUGUUCAUUUCAAUCUCAUUAAAUAUUUUGUCUUAAAAAAUUAUACAAAAAAUAUAGGUAUGAUAACGCAUUUGCUUAUUGUUCAUCAUCAAAAAUACAGCAUAUUUACAAACCUCAGUAACAAUGAUGCUAUGCAAUAUGUGUCAAAAUUUAAUUCUUAUUUAAAUUAAAUUUUUGUGUGCUAAAUUUAAGAUAGCUUCCACUCUUUUUAAACUUUUUUGAUGAUUCAAUGUUGAUUUUUGACAUUUUUAAAUAUACACAUAUAAAUAUAAUAGCAUAUAUGUUACAAGAAUACAUUGCCAACAAAUGGUAGAACUGUAACAAAGCAUAGACAGUAGUUGGAAAUCAAGGGAUAAAUCAUUGAAAAUAAAGUGGUAUACGCGUGCGUAAUGUACAUACAUCGACCACGUGAUUCAUCUCAACAGACUCGUGCUCUGGUGUUAACUAGUGUACUCCUUAAUUCCAUAUAAAUUAUCUAUUUUUGGCUACUAUAUACUAAAUAUUAGAUUAAAUAUAUAUACAUAUGUAUAGCUAAUAAUAUAUAUGUAUUAAUUUUAUAUAUCUAGUUUAAAAUAUUAAUUUUUAUAUAUAUUUACUGAAAUGUCAGAAAAAUUUUCUAUAGUUUCUUUUCAUGCAUGAAACGUGUUAGUAAUCCUGUUAAAUCUGCUAUAAAUUUAACUUUUUUAGCUUAUAAAUUGUGAUAUUUGUCUCAUGAAAGAAAUUUCUAACUAUUAUAUUAUUUAUCAUGCUCUUUCUUCUUCCAUAAGAAAGUAGAUUGCAACAAUGUUCUUCAUUACAAUAAGGUACGCUGAGGUAUGUACGUAACUGAGAUUUAAAUGUCUGCUAGCACUUACUUUACUGCGCAUGUGAGAACAUCCCUCUGCAUUCUGCAUUCUGCAUCCCCCACUGGCCCAAGACAGAACAGGUUAUACAUCGUUAUUGAUUAUAGACAUAAUACAUAUUAUUGGUAAUGUAAAAAAUACCGUGAAAACGUGCAACAUAUAAUUGUGUGCGGCCUUUUUUACGUAAAUAUUACUGUUUUAUAUGAACGUAGUAAUAAAUAGGAUCGAAAGAAUACAUAACGUAUUUAUUUAUUUUAUAGUCCAUGCCUUGUAAACGGACUUGAUUUACAAUAAAAAUCUUACAUUCCACAUCUUUUACAUAUUUAUUCUUCUUUAUUCACAUUUUCUCACUCUUUUUUCGCUACUGCAUCACUCUUUCCUUAUCAUUUACUAACUCUCUUACCGUUCUACUAAUCUCAAUCUUCCUAAUGUUUGUGUGAAAUAUUUUAGUUUUUUUUCUUUGUCUGCAUCUUUUAUUUCUUUUUCUCCAAAUCUCUCUUUUCCUCUUCAUUUCCCACCUUAAGUCCAGCUACAAUCUCCUUUCCUUGAGAACUUUGUCAUCCUUUAUACUACUUUAUCUUUGUAUUCUGUACAAUACUUUCAAUCGCUUAUCUUGUCGAAAAUGCAUUAUUCCCAUCUCUCUCUUUCUUUCACUAUUAUAACCUCCGUCACACUUGGCCUCGUCUCCUUCAGCCUCCUUACUUCCUCCAUGUUGUAUCUAUUUCUUCUAAAUACUAGUCUCUUCUCCGUAAUUCCUUCUUUAUUCUUCUCUCUUAUGUAUUCUUUAAUCUAGUCCUUUAUUGCUUUCUCUUGCUUUUUCUUCAAAAACCAGUUUUUCUCAGAACUUUUCUCAGAAAUCUCAAUCCAAUUUUCUAUCUCUCUCUCUGUUUCCUUCCAAACAAUUUAAUCUAAGGUAUAGUAAUCUAAUGUUCAUUUGAAGCACCUUUUCUGUAUUCUUAUAUUCUUUUCAACGCCACACCUCCGCUGCAUAACUCAUAACUCCCAUCAUCAGAUAAUCGAACAGCAUCACUCUUCUCUUAUAAUCAUCCCCGAAUCUUCUCUUUACGACACCAGUCCCAUCACCAUUUCUUAUCUUUUUUACAGCUUGUUCUUUUUUUCUACUAUCUUGCCUUAAGAAAAAACCUAAACAUUUCAUCUUUUUGACCUCUGUUUCAAGCCCUCUUUUUCCUUUUUUUCUCUUGUACUUCAGACCUCUAUGACUUUUGACUUAGAUGUAUGAGUUGCAACUUCUUUUUUGCAAGAUAUAUAGUUUCUUAUAUAUACUCUUUCAUCUCUGCUUCACUCUCUGCAAUCAUUACUACAUCAUCAGCAUACAAUGACCAAAAUUUACUUUUUCCUAAUACCAUCCUCCUGCUUGUCCUAUAUCCUUAAAACUUUUUUUGGAUCUGAUAUAAACAAUGAGAACGGUAUGGAACUCAAUGAACAGCCUUGGCUCACAUCUCUUCCCGUCCAGAAACUGUCCGUUAUCUUUUCAUUUACCUUCACCACGUCUCCUCAUAAAUCUUUAUUACUCUUUCUAUUCCCCUUCCUUAUACCUCAUCUCUCCAUCAUUUUCCGUAAUUCCUAUCUGUCUACGGCCGUUGUCAAAGGCCGUAUUCAGGUUCAUAAAAAAAACCACAUUCUUACUUCCCUUUUCACAUGUUUCAGUAUGUACAUAUUUCAGUAUGUACAAAUUGGCCAUUGUACAUCUCUACAUCUCCUCUUUCUAAAGCCGGGCUCUGUCUCCGGAAUUAUUUAUUUUUCUUUUGCAUCUCUUUUCAGUCUCUCAUCCAAAAUUUUAUAUGUUGUGCCCAACAGCAACAUCUCUCUGUAGUUCGAAAACUCUACAAUUAGGAAAAGGUUUAUAACAAAAUUUUAUAGAAACGGAUCUACAUACAAGAAAAAUUCGUAAACUUUCUCAGAAAUUUCCAAACUGACUCUAUCAUAAAAUGUAAACGGACGUAAAAAAAAAAAA